ACCGACGACGGCGACUACAACAUCAAGAUGCGCAACAUCCGGCGCUUUCUUGAGGAUGGCGACAAGUGCAAGAUCACGCUCCGUUUCCGCGGCCGCGAGAUCACGCACCAGGAGCUUGGCCUGGCGCUGUUGCAGCGCAUCCGUGACGAACUCGGCGACUCGAUCAUCGUGGAGCAGUUCCCGAAGCUCGAGGGUCGGCAGAUGAUCAUGAUGAUCGCGCCGGGCCGCAGGAAGGCCGGCGGUACGGCAAAGCCGGCCGCAGAGCCGUCGGCCGCGCCGGCAGCGGCCUAGGUUCAGGCGCAGAGGUUAUUGAAGGGAUUU
This 321-nucleotide unclassified non-coding RNA is filed under the name Variovorax sp. YR216. RNAcentral describes it as "Long range pseudoknot". Lineage: Bacteria; Pseudomonadati; Pseudomonadota; Betaproteobacteria; Burkholderiales; Comamonadaceae. The record is from RNAcentral.